This 460-nucleotide ribosomal RNA is filed under the name uncultured bacterium. RNAcentral describes it as "partial 16S ribosomal RNA". It matches the Rfam family "Bacterial small subunit ribosomal RNA", at positions 338 to 795 of the family's 1533-position model. The record is from RNAcentral.
CCUACGGGUGGCAGCAGUGAGGAAUAUUGGUCAAUGGGCGUAAGCCUGAACCAGCCAAGUCGCGUGAGGGAUGAAGGUUCUAUGGAUCGUAAACCUCUUUUGUAAGGGAAUAAAGUGUGGGACGUGUCCUAUUUUGUAUGUAUCUUAUGAAUAAGGAUCGGCUAACUCCGUGCCAGCAGCCGCGGUAAUACGGAGGAUCCGAGCGUUAUCCGGAUUUAUUGGGUUUAAAGGGUGCGUAGGCGGCCGUUUAAGUUAGAGGUGAAAUCCUGAGGCUCAACCUUAGAAUUGCCUUUGAUACUGGGCGGCUAGAGAGUAUUUGCGGCAGGCGGAAUGCAUGGUGUAGCGGUGAAAUGCUUAGAGAUCACGCAGAACACCGAUUGCGAAGGCAGCUUGCCAAGCCAUUUCUGACGCUGAGGCACGAAAGCGUGGGGAUCAAACAGGAUUAGAUACCCGUGUAGUC